UUUUUGGUUAAGUUACUAAGGGCAUAUGGUGGAUGCCUUGGCACCAAAAGGCGAUGAAGGACGCGGCUACCUGCGAUAAGCGUCGGACAGGCGGAAACAGCCUCUGACCCGACGAUUUCCGAAUGGGGCAACCCACCGAGAGUUAUGUCUCGGAACUUCCCGCUGAAUUCAUAGGCGGGAAAGAGCCAACGGGGAGAAGUGAAACAUCUCAGUACCCCCAGGAAGAGAAAACAACCGUGAUUUCCCCAGUAGCGGCGAGCGAAAAGGAAACAGCCCAAACCUUCUGAUACGCUCAAGGCGACGACCGUUGUAUCGGAGGUGUAGCGGGACUCUCAGGCUGAAUCGUCGAUAAGCCGGGGAGUGAGAAAUCAAUUCGUUAGCUGAAUCUUCUGGAACGCUGGACCACAGAGGGUGAUAGUCCCGUAAGCGAAAACGGAUUGACUCCCGAGAGGAUCCCAAGUACCACGGAAUAAGUGGAAGUCUGUGGGAAUCUGCCAGAACCAUCUGGUAAGGCUAAAUACUCUUUGGUGACCGAUAGUGAACAAGUACCGUGAGGGAAAGGUGAAAAGCACCCUUAAGAAGGGGGUGAAAUAGUACCUGAAACCAUAUGCUUACAAACGGUUGGAGCAAAUCCUCCGCCUUUGGCGGAGGAGGAGUGACAGCGUGCCUUUUGCUUAAUGAGCCUACGAGUUGCUCGUACGUUGCAAGGUUAAAGUUCUCAGAACUGCAGCCGUAGCGAAAGCGAGUCCUAACCGGGCGCUUGCCCCGACGCAAGUCGGGGAUCAGUAACGUGCGGCAGACGCGAACCCGUGUGAUCUACCCUUGGUCAGGGUGAAGUGGGGGUAACACCUCAUGGAGGCCCGAACUGAUGUGGGUUGAAAACCGCUCGGAUGAACUGAGGGUAGGAGCGAAAGACCAAUCAAACUCGGAGAUAGCUCGUACUCCCCGAAAUAGCUUUAGGGCUAGCCUCGUGUCAUAAUAUCACGGAGGUAGAGCACUGAUUGGGCUAGGGUCGUCACAACGAUACCAAACCCAGACAAACUCCGAAUUCCGUUGAUAUGUUUCACGGGAGUCAGGCGACGAGGGAUAAGCUUCGACGCCGAGAGGGGAAUAACCCAGACCGCCAGCUAAGGUCCCCAAAUCGAGGUUAACAGAGAAAGGAUGUCGAGUUGCUCAGACAACUAGGAUGUUGGCUUAGAAGCAGCCAUUCAUUCAAAGAGUGCGUAAUAGCUCACUAGUCAAGCGACUCCGCGCCGAUAAUAAUCGGGACUAAACCUCGUACCGAAGCUGCGGAUACCCCGACGCAAGUCGGGAUGUGGUAGGGGAGCAUUCCAUCGACAUCGAAGGUGUCUCGCGAGGGAUGCUGGAGUUGAUGGAAACGACGAUGUAGGCAUAAGUAACGAUAAGGAGAGUGAAAAACUCUCCCACCGAAAGUCUAAGGUUUCCUGAGCAACGUUAAUCGUCUCAGGGUUAGUCGGACCCUAAGCUGAGGCCGAAAGGCGUAAGCGAUGGAAAACAGGUUGAAUAUUCCUGUACCUGUGUGCAAUCGUUUGACUAUAAGGGGUGACGCAGAAGUGAAGUCGGGCCAGCUGUUGGCUUAGCUGGUUUAAGCCUGUAGGCGUCUCGGGUAGGCAAAUCCGCCCGGGAGUUAUCGCCGAGAGGUGAACAGGGCGCCCGUAUGGGCCACAACUCGACGUAACCAGGCUGCCAAGAAAAACCUCGUAUAGGAGAUUGCAGACAGUCCGUACCGCAAACCGACACAGGUAGAUGAGAAGAGAAUUCUCAGGUGCUCGAGUGAGCCGUGGUUAAGGAACUCGGCAAAUUGACCCCGUAACUUCGGGAUAAGGGGUGUCCCGACCGGUAUAAGCCUGCGCGAAAGCUGGUCGGGAUCGCAGUGAAAUGGGCCAAGCGACUGUUUAACAAAAACACAUCUCUAUGCUAAGCCGUGAAGGCGACGUAUAUAGAGUGACACCUGCCCGGUGCCGGAAGGUUAAGGAAGCGGGUCAUUCUCUGCCGCAAGGCGGAGAGGAAGCUUGCGACCGAAGCCCCGGUAAACGGCGGCCGUAACUAUAACGGUCCUAAGGUAGCGAAAUUCCUUGUCGGGUAAGUUCCGACCUGCACGAAUGGUGUAACGAUUUGGCCACUGUCUCAACCACGGGCUCGGUGAACUUGUGGUACCGGUGAAGACGCCGGUUACC
RNAcentral lists this ribosomal RNA (2198 nucleotides) under Ignavibacteria bacterium. Its description in RNAcentral is "partial 23S ribosomal RNA". It matches the Rfam family "Bacterial large subunit ribosomal RNA", at positions 1 to 2070 of the family's 2925-position model. Lineage: Bacteria; Pseudomonadati; Ignavibacteriota; Ignavibacteria. The record is from RNAcentral.